Molecule: long non-coding RNA, 2428 nt
Filed under: Mus musculus (house mouse)
Lineage: Eukaryota; Metazoa; Chordata; Mammalia; Rodentia; Muridae
Description: RIKEN cDNA 5830432E09 gene
Source: RNAcentral
GAAACAGAGAUUCUGGGUUACUAGCAAGUGACAGCGUGAGCCCAGGAGGAGCUGGAGAGAGUGGCAAGCUUGAGUGACAGCCCCAUGCCUGCCCGCUGUACCAAGCCCAGUGUACAAUACCUUGCUCUUCUAAGAUCCCGUUAGGCAUUUUCUUGUCGUUGCUGCUGACCACGGCCUUCCUCUGCUUCCGGAACCUUAAAGGCACACACAAGAUGUGUUAGGUCUCAGCACCGCGGGAACCCCCAAGCCCUGAGUGUGGUGAUACCCACCAGGUGAGCCGGGAAAAGUUCUUUCUGCUGCUCAUGGCUGAGCUGUGUGGCAGCUCAGGCCUGGCCAGCCGCUGUCUGAGCUGUUUGGGCCCACACCCCCAGCCUCCAGCACACUCAUUUCCUCAUAGGAGCUGGUGAGAGCACGUCAGCGCCUGGGGACACUCCUACCUGAAGAAGUAGGCUGCAAGCAGGAACAGGAGGAGGAGCAGGGGCAGCAGCAGCCAGGGUGCCCUCCUAUCACCACAAAGCUCCCAGCCAAAAGGCCCCAUCAAAAGCCUGCUUCUCCAGUGAAUGAGUGUGGCUCCUGUGAACUGGUCCAGAGGAGCUAUGAUCUGCAGCUGGUGAGCACAUGCUAUCAGGAGUGAGCCGGUCUCCCAUGGGAGGCCCUGGAGGUGAGUAGCUCGAUUUCCAUCCUCUUGAGUUCCAGAAGUGCCAAACAUUGUCCCCAAGCUGAGUGUGUGUGCCAGGGUUCAUGUCCUUCCUCCCAUGUGCCACCCUGGUCCAUAGAAACUCAGCACUCCAGGAAGGAGUUUGAAAUGUCAUAGUUUCCCCAGUCCUGUGCAUGUAUGUAAUCUACAGGCUAUGACCCACAGUCUGCCAUCUGUGGCCCUGGCCAAGAGAAGCUGAUUCCCAGCAUGUCAAGGUCAGGUAUAUAUUAGACUUAAUGGCUAGGAAUAUCUGUCCCUCCCUCAGGGGGAUACUCCAAACCUGCCCAUUGCCCAGCUGGGGCCCGUUAGGAGCAGCCUGGUCCACGACUUCCACGGCUGUGGCUCCAGGGAAAUGGUAUACCCUAGACUAGGACCUGUAUCAAAGUUUAACCUGGACUGCCGAGAGCUGCCUGGGCCUGAAGGGCAGCGCUAAGCCAAUCUCAGGGAGCCCCACUGCUCAGGGUUCCCUGAUUCAACUCCAUCCAUUUUUGGUCAAAGGCCACUAGAAAGUGUGGGCAGUCUCCUCCUUCUUCUCAGGAAAUGCUCACUGUCUUUUCUGGGUGUGUCACCAUGGUGACAAUACCCACUUCUGCAUUACCCAGAGCCCAGCCUCUGCUCUGCAGAAGCAGCUACUAAACUGGCUUGGCUACAAGGUCCACUCCAUCAUAGACAGAGGGACUUCGACCCCGUGAAUCCUCCCCUGGGCUCUGUCAAAGUACUCGAGGGUCCAGCCUCUGUGUCCAGGUUCUCGGAGUACAAGCUGCAGUCACAGAAAAAUGGGGACCCCACAAGGCAUGAGUUGAGUGACACAAGGCCUACAUGGAUUGUCACACAGGCAGGAUGGUCAGAGGGACUCAUUAUCCCUCAAUUUGGUUUCUGUUACUUCUAAUGUUCUUUGUCUAGGAAGGCAGAGGUCAGGGCCAGAACCUCGCAGGCUUCCCAAGGGUAGCAGAACACCCAGAGCCAGCUGGGUGGGACGGGACAUAGGGAACCGUGGGCAUGCUCUGGCUACAGUGUCAGAGCCUAUGGAAGGAUGGGUCCGUACUACUUCUUGCCUCAAAUACUGCAAAAGAAGAAGCCCAUACCUUAUGAAAUGUCUUUGAAAUUGUGGAUGCUGGUCAAUAAUUAGGUUUAACACAAAUUUUGAUAAACAAUGUGGGCCAGGAAAUAAAUCCUGGUGCAUACUAGGUAAUGUCCCCUUGGUCCCAGUGGUGUUCCACCCAGGGAGGCAUGAGGUUUCCUAGAGGAUAUCCUAUGGUCACAUUCUGUUUCCAGUUCACACUGACUUGGAGGUGUGUGUGGGGGGGAAGGGCCAGAGUGGGGAGGUGCAGAUGGGUCUCUCUAGAUGAUUCAGCCCUUUUCCUAAAGUGUUGCUGGGUUUCCCAACUGUCUGUGAUAAGGGAGUACAUGUGUGUUCACAUAGACUUUAGGCAUAGGCAUACCUGCGUGUGUGCACACACACAGUUGCUUACACAGAACCUGGUCUUGACACUAAAAAGGCAAUAGUUUGUGUGUGCAGUGGGACCUGACACUUUUACUCUGAACACAGAUGUCCCCAGUGACUCAUCUGCUGUGUCAGAAGGACCCAGGCAGAAGAGCAUGGGCCAGCCUGGUUAAGUUCUUUCCAGACCCCAUGGAACUCUGCACCAAUCUGCAACAGACAGUGCCCCUCCAACGAGGGACACUCUACAUGUCUAGAGGGUCCCUAGCAAGGAGGCGGAGGAGUAAAGG